GAUGAAGAACGCAUCGAAAUGCGAUAAGUAAUGUGAAUUGCAGAAUUCAGUGAAUCAUCGAAUCUUUGAACGCACAUUGCGCCCCUUGGUAUUCCGGGGGGCAUGCCUGUUCGAGCGUCAUUAUAACCCCUCAAGCUCAGCUUGGUGUUGGGGCCUGCCGACUGGCAGCCCUUAAAAUCAGUGGCGGCGCCAUCUGGCUCUAAGCGUAGUAAUUUCUCUCGCUAUAGAGUCCCGGUGGAUGCUUGCCAGCAACCCCCAACUUUCUAUGGUUGACCUCGGAUCAGGUAGGGAUACCCGCUGAACUUAAGCAUAUCAAUAAGCGGAGGA
This 327-nucleotide unclassified non-coding RNA is filed under the name soil metagenome. RNAcentral describes it as "partial contains 5.8S ribosomal RNA, internal transcribed spacer 2, and large subunit ribosomal RNA". The stretch from base 1 to 120 matches the Rfam family "5.8S ribosomal RNA", at positions 35 to 154 of the family's 154-position model. The record is from RNAcentral.